GGCACCACAGUUCCCUUCUCCAGUGAUCUGGUUACAGAACACAUUCUCUGGCUCAUCUUGAAAAAGCAGCUUUUUUUUUUUUUUUGCUAUAACUUCAGAAACUCUGGGAGAAAAAAACUCCCCAAGCCUCAAAUAUUUUCCUACUGCAAACUUGAAAUUCUACCAGAGGGCCCGAGAUUCUACAGAGUGCCUGAAGCCACCAGUUCAGAUUAUGAUGGAGAGAAACAGAGAAAGACAGCUAGAGCAAACCAUGAUCCAGGCUGUCGGGGCAGGGGCUUCCCAGACAGGGCUUUAGAGCUGAAAGGCUGGGGACAGAGCAAGAGUGGCUGUUGAAGGAGGGGCACGGGCUCAGCUGUGCUUCCAACCUAAUCUGUCUCCCAGCUGGGUCCAGAGCUUCCUCCAGCCUGGGUCGUCUUCUCUCUAACCUUUGCUAGCAGGUUUCUAUGAGUGUGGAAGGAGAUGACAUGUGUGAGACCCUUGGCGCAGCUCCUGGCACACCUAAGGUGUCCUUUCUUAAAUGUGAGCUUGUGAUGCAUAACCUUGAGCUAACCUAUAGCCAGCACUCGGUAGGCAGAGGCAGAAGGUGAUGGAGCAAAACUAUACCUCUGAAGUACAUCAGUACAUCAGUUGUCGCCGUCGUCGUCGUCGUCGUCAUAGUAAACAUGGACGCAAGGCAAGGGCUCAUUCAGCGGUGUCUGCUGUGCAAAGAUCUGAGUUCAUAUCCCAGGACUCACGUUAAAAAGGAGGACGUGGUGCUGUGUGUCUAUAAGCCCAGCACUCCUAUGGCAGCAGGGAGGCAAAGACAGAAGAUUCCUGGGAGCUCACAGCUCAGGUAUCCUCGCAAAUGCAACAGGAAACAAGAGACCCUGCCUUAAACACGGUGAAAAGCGGAGAUGCAGGGCAGGAAAGUAAGGAGAGAGUCAUCCAUCCAUCUGUUACUGCCUCACAGCCAGCCCUCACCUGUCAACAGUGACCUUGACACUGGCCCUACCUUGGAACAAGAACUUUUUGCCACCAUCUGGUUUGGCAGCAGAUGUGGCUAGGUCUCUCUCCUUUUCUGAGUACCCAUGGCUGCCCUGCUCUCUUCUACCUUCAAGACACUGCAGAGGACUGACUACACACCCCAGCUUCUCCCUCCUCAGGCUUCCGGAGGGAGCUUCUGCUGCUGCUGCUCCAGGGAUAGCUGCUCAUGCAGUUAUUUGUUGCCUCAGUGUUCCUUGACAGGGAGCUGGCUGCCUUGUUUAUUGCUUGGUCCACUAUCCCUGGGCCUUUGCCAGACUCCUGAAAGGCAUCGAUAACAGGGAGGGACGGAAGACGGGGAGAAGAGUUCAGGGUCAUAGCUAAUGCCCAGCAGUGGCAAGAGUUCUUAGAGUUGCAAGAGAAGACUGCCCCUUCCUCUGGCAGAUAAAUGGCUGCCUGGCUGCUAUGAAAGACACAGCUGGUUCACAUCUGGACCAUGCCAUAGGUGGUCAGUCAUCCCCACCCUUCCUCUUCCCAUCUUACAGGAGAGUUCUAAACUCAAGAAGAAAGUGGUGCCCCCCCCCCCAGGAAACAGCAGGUGUCCUAGUGUGCUGUGCUCAAAGGCCUCAGAGGACAGGUGAGCUGACGGUGCCUUCUCUUAAACUUGUCCUAGCCCAGUGACUCUCUUGCCCUUUGAAACAAGCUCUUCAGUGAGGCCACAGAGGAAAAAAAAAACCUCAUUCUCUGGGAACUGGGAGUCAGGAAGUAUAACACUCACCUUCUGAGGCCCCUGGGACUAAAACAGAGGGACUUGAGCACCCCUGCAGGGCUGCUGAGUCCCCAGCAGACACAGAAUGCCUGCUAUCUCUUGCCAGUAUCUAGGUUUCUACAGGGGGCACCUGUGAGCCUUGAUUAUCAGGAGACACCCAGUCUCCUCUGGAAGCUUAAGCCCCAGGCCCAUCCCCUUUCUUGUCUAGGGUGGGUGUGGAGGCUGGGGUGCAAUCUUGGAUGCAGUUCCUCAGGAGCCGUUCACUUUGUUUCUUAAAAAACAAAAACGCGUUUUUAAAUUUAUUUUAUUUCCUGCGUGUAUGCACUGAUCAUAUCCACUCCAGCUCCCCUUCCAACUCCUUCUAGACACCUCAACAUAUCUCCUCUUCCCGACUUCACCUCCCUUCUCCCUCUUGGUACUCCACUGAGUCUAAUUAGUGAUUGUUAACAUAUCAACUGAGCUGGUUGACCUGAUCUUGUGCAGGUAAUUGUAGCAGCAGUGAAGACAUGGUACAACAGGCCUCUGGAUGGUCGAGCCGGCUACUGGCGAUCUCAGGCCAGGGUUCUGAUCCCAGCUCCACCACCUGCUCUCUCUGUGAUCAUAGACAAGAAGCUUGAACUCCCCCCAAGUCUCCCUACCAUCACCUAUCUGUAAUAAAGACAUCUGGGCUCUU
This is a long non-coding RNA of Mus musculus (house mouse), 2402 nucleotides long. RefSeq annotates it as predicted gene, 35227. The record is from RefSeq and is a predicted model, not a curated record. The transcript has 3 exons. Lineage: Eukaryota; Metazoa; Chordata; Mammalia; Rodentia; Muridae.